Molecule: ribosomal RNA, 253 nt
Filed under: uncultured bacterium
Lineage: Bacteria
Description: partial 16S ribosomal RNA
Rfam family: Bacterial small subunit ribosomal RNA
Source: RNAcentral
UACGUAGGGGGCUAGCGUUGUCCGGAAUCACUGGGCGUAAAGGGCGCGUAGGCGGCGCGGGCAGUCAACGGUGAAAGCUUGGGGCUCAACCCCGAGUCGGCCGUCGAUACUCCCGUGCUUGAGCACUGUAGAGGCAGGUGGAAUUCCGGGUGUAGCGGUGGAAUGCGUAGAGAUCCGGAAGAACACCGGUGGCGAAGGCGGCCUGCUGGGCAGUAGCUGACGCUGAGGCGCGACAGCGUGGGGAGCAAACAGG